CUCAAACACACAGCAUUUUCCAGCUUUCAACGAUGUUGGACGCCGAUGAUGAUGGCUUCGGCGAUUUCAAGUUCGCGCCAUUCGAUCAUACCGUCCGUUCCAAUCCCAUUCUUAUGAACGGUCGAGAUUCAGCUGCUGCGACCAACGAUGACGAAGACUGGGGAGAUUUCGUCAACUCCGGUGGACUAUCCCACGCCCUAUCGCUCCCCAAAAUCUCGAAGCCCCUUGACCCG
RNAcentral lists this unclassified non-coding RNA (233 nucleotides) under Hevea brasiliensis (rubber tree). The record is from RNAcentral. Lineage: Eukaryota; Viridiplantae; Streptophyta; Magnoliopsida; Malpighiales; Euphorbiaceae.